RNAcentral lists this long non-coding RNA (336 nucleotides) under Musa acuminata (dwarf banana). RNAcentral describes it as "long non-coding RNA (MACU_LNC004995)". The record is from RNAcentral. Lineage: Eukaryota; Viridiplantae; Streptophyta; Magnoliopsida; Zingiberales; Musaceae.
UCAGGAAGUACUCCCCUCGGGUGGUGGCUGAGGUCACCUACGACCCCUCCAAGCUCCGCGGCGACCCUGACGGCGGUUUCAUGAUCCUUGCCAACUACAUCGGCGCCCUCGGCAAGCCGCAGAACGUCCGCCCCGAGAAGAUCGCCAUGACCGCCCCCGUCAUCACCAAAGCCGGCCCCGAGAAGAUCGCCAUGACCGCGCCCGUCAUCACCAACGUCGCCGGCGAGGGCAAGGAAGUGACCAUGCAAUUCGUGCUGCCGUCCAAGUACUCGCGGGCGGAGGAGGCGCCGGCCCCGGUGGACGAACGGGUCGUGGUGAGGGACGAGGGGGAGGCCA